This 338-nucleotide ribosomal RNA is filed under the name Polarella glacialis. Its description in RNAcentral is "partial Eukaryotic large subunit ribosomal RNA". It matches the Rfam family "Eukaryotic large subunit ribosomal RNA", at positions 2944 to 3343 of the family's 3401-position model. Lineage: Eukaryota; Dinophyceae; Suessiales; Suessiaceae. The record is from RNAcentral.
UAGGGAACGUGAGCUGGGUUUAGACCGUCGUGAGACAGGUUAGUUUUACCCUACUGCUGCUCGUUUUUCAACGGUAAUUUGGUUCAGUACGAGAGGAACCACCAAUUCGCACCAUCGGUAAACCCGCCGCCCGAUAGGGCGAUGCGGGGACGCUGCCAUGCGCCGGAUUAUAACUGAACGCCUCUAAGUUAGAAUCCAUGCCGGAAGGAAAGCGGUCCACCGCGCGGGGGAAGCCACGCGCAACCGUAUCGCACGAGCCGUGAGCGACCACAAUUUCCUGACCCCGCGCGAUGAAUCCCUUGCAGACGACUUGAAUAUGGAACGGGGUAUUGUACGCG